CGGGGCGGCAAAACGUCCGCCCGGGCCCGAGGCGGGCGGAGGCAGCUGUGGUUACGUGCGGGGGGCCGGUGACGCAGUCGCGGGGCGCUGGGACGCGGCUUGCGGAGCCGGCCGGCGAGCGCAGGCCCCAGGCUCGGGCGCGGCGGCGGGACAGCACCUACCUUCCCGGCUUCGGGUCCGGGAGUGCGGGGCGCGGAGCCGCCGGAGCGCUGCCUCCCUCCUUCCUCCUCCCCUCGCCCCCGCCCCGCGGCGCGACACACAAUACUCGCCGGAAGCGGAAGCCGCGCCGAGGCUCGUGUCAGUGGAAGCUGGGGUGUCGGCGGGCGGCCGCGGCCGGGUCUAGUGGUGCCUGCGGAAGAAGGAGGAGGAGGGCUGGCGAUGAGAAGCAGCAGGGGGAAUCAAGGGCAAGAAGGGACCCAGAGGGGCAGGUGGCUGAGAUGCUGGCGUCCAGGUGACCCGAGGAAUCCUCUGGAGAUACAGGCCCGCGCAUGCGCGUGCUCGAGCGCUGAAGCCCAUUGCCCGCAGGGCGCUGGACUGGCGCCCCGGCCGGCGAGGCUGUCUAGUCCAGGCUCCAGGCCCCGGCUCUGGCCAGGCGCCGCCGCCUCCCGGUGCAGCUGAAAGUCGACGAAGAGGGCGGGGCGGGGGCGGCUUGUGGACUUCCACACUUUUCCUCUCUUCGGGCCAGUCUGGGGAGAGGGUGGCUAGCUGUGGCGGCGGCCAAUUACGUGGCGGACCUGCGGGGCUAAGCUGGCACGUCACUUCCGACUAGUGGAGUUUUUAGCCUUUUAACAUUCAAGGAUUAGGUAAGUUCUCCCCGCGGUAGACUUCAAAUACUCUUUGUCCUGCCCCUGCUUGGCGAAAUUUACCGAAAUUAUCUACCUAUCCCGCUGGAGUGGGAGCCGGGGGAGAGCUGGAACCGCGUCUCUGCUGCUCACCUUUGUGUCCUUAGCUCCUUCGCAUGGGGUCCGACCGCAACACGUGCGCUGGAUAAACGCUUGUUAACUGGAGCUCCCUCUUUGCCCACUAGCAGGGCAUUAGCUGGUGCUGAAGACAGUGGCUGCUUGGCGAGCCUGGAUCUCCAAGUGACCCCCUCAGCAACUCCUGAUGAACAGGGACUUGCACUUAGGAAUCUGUUACAGUGAGCACAGAAGCAGACCUGUGGGCUCAUAGUCUUCACCCCCCACCCAUAUAUACAAGAUGAACAGAGUGGAGGUUAAACAACUUGACUAAACAACACAGUUCAUGGUAAAGCCCAAGACUGUACCUGCCCAUCCACUGCCUUUUCCAUGUAUCCUGGAACUGAGCAUAGACCUCUUCCCAGGCAGAGCUGACAGCAAGUAAAGGAGAUCAUAAUCAGGGGACCAAACAACUUUGUCUAAAGUGUGAAUGUCACCUAAGGAGAAGCUGUGAGAUCAGAAGGGUGGGGCAGAGGAGCAGACACCAUGAGAGAGAGUCCUUGGGGGUACAUCUGCCAGACUGACACUGUCUGGCCUGGGCAGUGGAGGGGCUAGCAGGAACCACAGGUACUGGUGGUGUGGCUACUACCGUUACAACUGCCUGUGCUUGGACAUGGACCCUCUGCAAUAUGCGGCAGUUUCAUUCAUUGCCCCCUACAUUCUACACCAAGUAGAAAUGGAAGGCAAUUGGAUACUUCACAGACAAGAUCUAAGUGGAGAAGGAAUGCGUCCUGUGGCUGCAGAGAUCCUUGGAGCUUGGAGGGGAGAGCUUGAGCCCCACUGAUGAUGACCUCCCACAGCUCGCCAACUCAGCCCUCCCUAAGUCCCCAUCGGGGGCCAAUUCUCACUCUGGGGUUGGGGGGACUCCACCAUAGCUCAUCCAUCAUAGGGAUGUUGGUAUCUACUGUGGGUUGGGUAGGGCCGAUGUGCUGAGGAUGGCUCCCCCACAAGCAAGAGAUGUGGAUUUGGGGAGCUUCCCAUCUUGUGUUGAAGGAACAUAACUCAGAAUAAUAAGAGCCAACUAUAACAAACCCACAGCCAACAUCAUACUGAAUGGGCAAAAGCUGCAGGCAUUCCCCUUGAAAAGUGGCACAGGAUAAGGAAGCCCUUUCUCACCACUCCUAUUCAAUAUAGUGUUGAAAGUCCUGAUCACAGCAGUCAGGCAACAGAAAUAAUAAAGGGCAUCCAAAUAGGAAGAGAGGAAGUCAAACUAUCCUUGUUUGCAGACAGUAUGAUUCUAUAUCUAGAAAACCCCAUAGCCUCAGCCCAAAAGGUCCUUCAUCUGAUAAUUUCAGCAAAGUUUCAGGAGACAAAAUCAGUGUACAAAAAUCACUAACAUUCCUAUACACAGUCGCCAAGCCAAGAGCCAAAUCAGGAGCACAAUCCCAUUCAUAAUUGCCACAAAAAAGAAUAAAAUACCCAGGAAUGCAGCUAACCAAGGAAGUAAAGGAUCUCUACAAUGAGAAUCACAAACGCUGCUCAAAGAAAUCAGAGAUGACACAAACAAAUGGAAAAACUUUCCAUGCUCAUGGCUAGGAAGAAUCAAUAUCAUUAAAGUGGCCAUACUACCCAAAGCAAUUUAUAGAUUCAAUGCUAUUCCUAUCAAACUAUCAAUUACAUUUUUCACAGAACUAGAAAAAACUUAAAAUUCAUAUGGAACCAAAAAGCCUGAGUAGUCAAGGCAAUCCUAAACAAAAAGAACAAAGGUGGAGGCAUCACAUUACCUAACUUCAAACUACAGGGCUACCAUGACCAAAACAGCAUGGUACUGGUACAAAAGCAGACACACAGACCAGUGGGACAGAAUAGAGAGCCCAAAAAUAAGGCCACAAACCUACAGCCAUCUGAUCUUCAACAAAGUUGACAAAAACAAGCAAUGGGGAAAGGUCUCCCUAUUCAAUAAAUGGUGCUGGGAUAACUGGCUGGCCAUAUGCAGAAGAUCGUAACUGGACCCCUUUUACUAUGUACAAAAAUUAAGAUGGUUUAAAGAGUUAAAACCCAAAAUUAUAAAAAUCCUGAAGAUAACUUAGGCAAUACCAUUCUGGACAUAGGAACUGGCAAAUAUUUCAUGAUGAAGACACCAAAAGCAAUUGUAACAAAAGCAAAAAUGGACAAAUUGGAUUUAAGAGCUUUUUCAUAGCAAAAUAAACAACAGGGCAGACAAUCUACCAAAUGACAGAAAAUUUUUGCAAACUAUGCAUCUGACAAGGGGCUAAUAUCUAGCAUCUAUAAGGAAUUUAAACACAGUUACAGG
Molecule: long non-coding RNA, 3210 nt
Filed under: Homo sapiens (human)
Lineage: Eukaryota; Metazoa; Chordata; Mammalia; Primates; Hominidae
Description: long non-coding RNA NONHSAT117950.2
Source: RNAcentral